Molecule: ribosomal RNA, 406 nt
Filed under: uncultured bacterium
Lineage: Bacteria
Description: bacterial SSU rRNA
Rfam family: Bacterial small subunit ribosomal RNA
Source: RNAcentral
AACGAACGCUGGCGGCAUGCCUAACACAUGCAAGUCGAACGAGACCUUCGGGUCUAGUGGCGCACGGGUGCGUAACGCGUGGGAAUCUGCCCUUGGGUCCGGAAUAACUCAGAGAAAUUUAGAGCUAAUACCGGAUGAUGACGUAAGUCCAAAGAUUUAUCGCCCAGGGAUGAGCCCGCGUAGGAUUAGCUAGUUGGUGAGGUAAAGGCUCACCAAGGCGACGAUCCUUAGCUGGUCUGAGAGGAUGAUCAGCCACACUGGGACUGAGACACGGCCCAGACUCCUACGGGAGGCAGCAGUGGGGAAUAUUGGACAAUGGGCGAAAGCCUGAUCCAGCAAUGCCGCGUGAGUGAUGAAGGCCUUAGGGUUGUAAAGCUCUUUUACCCGGGAUGAUAAUGACAGUACC